AUUGAACGCUGGCGGCAUGCCUUACACAUGCAAGUCGAACGGCAGCAUGAUCUAGCUUGCUAGAUUGAUGGCGAGUGGCGCACGGGUGAGUAAUACAUCUGAACGUGCCCUGUAGUGGGGGAUAACUAGUCGAAAGAUUAGCUAAUACCGCAUACGACCUGAGGGUGAAAGUGGGGGACCGCAAGGCCUCAUGCUAUAGGAGCGGCCGAUGUCUGAUUAGCUAGUUGGUGAGGUAAAGGCUCACCAAGGCGACGAUCAGUAGCUGGUCUGAGAGGACGAUCAGCCACACUGGGACUGAGACACGGCCCAGACUCCUACGGGAGGCAGCAGUGGGGAAUUUUGGACAAUGGGCGAAAGCCUGAUCCAGCAAUGCCGCGUGUGUGAAGAAGGCCUUCGGGUUGUAAAGCACUUUUGUCAGGAAAGAAAUGGCUCUGGUUAAUACCUGCGGUCGAUGACGGUACCGGAAGAAUAAGGACCGGCUAACUACGUG
Molecule: ribosomal RNA, 490 nt
Filed under: uncultured bacterium
Lineage: Bacteria
Description: partial 16S ribosomal RNA
Rfam family: Bacterial small subunit ribosomal RNA
Source: RNAcentral